AAGGAGAAGUCGUAACAAGGUUUCCGUACGUGAACAUGCGGAAGGAUCGUUGUCGAAACCUGCCCCGGCAGAACUUGCCCGGUGCUCGCACUAGGUGAAUCCCGGCGCGGCAAGCGCCAAGGAAAACAAAAAAUAGAUUCGUUGCCCCUUUGGCUCCCGUCCGCGGUGUGGCCAUGGGGAUGCAGCGUAUCUUGAAAGUCUAAACGACUCUCGGCAACGGAUAUCUCGGCUCUCGCAUCGAUGAAGAACGUAGCGAAAUGCGAUACUUGGUGUGAAUUGCAGAAUCCCGUGAACCAUCGAGUCUUUGAACGCAAGUUGCGCCCGACGCCUUCGGGCUGAGGGCACGCCUGCCUGGGCGUCACGCAUCGCGUCGUCCCCUCCCAUUCCCUCACGGGUUUGGUUAUGGGACGGAUAAUGGCUUCCCGUUAGCUCGGUUAGCCCAAAAAGGAUCCCUCAUCGACGGAUGUCACAACCAGUGGUGGUUGAAAGAUCAUUGGUGCUGUUGUGCUUCACCCUGUCGCUUGCUAGGGCAUCGUCAUAAACUAACGGCGUGUAAUGCGCCUUCGACCGCGACCCCAGGUCAGACGGGACUACCCGCUGAG
Molecule: ribosomal RNA, 602 nt
Filed under: embryophyte environmental sample
Lineage: Eukaryota; Viridiplantae; Streptophyta
Description: eukaryotic LSU rRNA
Rfam family: 5.8S ribosomal RNA (bases 206-361)
Source: RNAcentral